Molecule: ribosomal RNA, 449 nt
Filed under: uncultured bacterium
Lineage: Bacteria
Description: partial 16S ribosomal RNA
Rfam family: Bacterial small subunit ribosomal RNA
Source: RNAcentral
AACGAACGCUGGCGGCAGGCCUAACACAUGCAAGUCGAGCGAGACCUUCGGGUCUAGCGGCGGACGGGUGAGUAACGCGUGGGAAUAUGCCCUUUGGUACGGAAUAGCCUCGGGAAACUGAGAGUAAUACCGUAUGUGCCCUUCGGGGGAAAGAUUUAUCGCCGAAGGAUUAGCCCGCGUUGGAUUAGGUAGUUGGUGGGGUAAUAGCCUACCAAGCCUACGAUCCAUAGCUGGUUUGAGAGGAUGAUCAGCCACACUGGGACUGAGACACGGCCCAGACGCCUACGGGAGGCAGCAGUGGGGAAUCUUAGACAAUGGGGGCAACCCUGAUCUAGCCAUGCCGCGUGAGUGAUGAAGGCCUUAGGGUUGUAAAGCUCUUUCAGCUGGGAAGAUAAUGACGGUACCAGCAGAAGAAGCCCCGGCUAACUCCGUGCCAGCAGCCGCCGUAA